GCGGGUGUCGCCAAGCGGUUAAGGCCUCGGAUUGUGGUUCCGAUAUUCGUGGGUUCGAAUCCCAUCAUCCGCCCCA
This 76-nucleotide transfer RNA is filed under the name Candidatus Adamsella sp. RNAcentral describes it as "tRNA-His". It matches the Rfam family "tRNA". Rfam says of the family: Transfer RNA (tRNA) molecules are approximately 80 nucleotides in length. Their secondary structure includes four short double-helical elements and three loops (D, anti-codon, and T loops). Further hydrogen bonds mediate the characteristic L-shaped molecular structure. tRNAs have two regions of fundamental functional importance: the anti-codon, which is responsible for specific mRNA codon recognition, and the 3' end, to which the tRNAs corresponding amino acid is attached (by aminoacyl-tRNA synthetases). tRNAs cope with the degeneracy of the genetic code in two manners: having more than one tRNA (with a specific anti-codon) for a particular amino acid; and 'wobble' base-pairing, i.e. permitting non-standard base-pairing at the 3rd anti-codon position. The record is from RNAcentral. Lineage: Bacteria; Bacillati.